RNAcentral lists this unclassified non-coding RNA (220 nucleotides) under plant metagenome. RNAcentral's name for it is "partial contains small subunit ribosomal RNA, internal transcribed spacer 1, and 5.8S ribosomal RNA". The record is from RNAcentral.
UUUCCGUAGUUGAACCUGCGGAAGGAUCAUUACAGAGUUCAUGCCCUCACGGGUAGAUCUCCCACCCUUGAAUAUUUAUACCUUAGUUGCUUUGGCAGGCCGUGGAAACACCAUGGGCUCCGGCUUAUGCGUGCCUGCCAGAGGAAACAAACUCUGUUUUUAGUGAUGUAUGAGUACUAUAUGAUAGUUAAAACUUUCAACAACGGAUCUCUUGGUUCUG